Molecule: ribosomal RNA, 497 nt
Filed under: uncultured bacterium
Lineage: Bacteria
Description: partial 16S ribosomal RNA
Rfam family: Bacterial small subunit ribosomal RNA
Source: RNAcentral
GAUGAACGCUGGCGGCGUGCCUAAUACAUGCAAGUCGAGCGAACGGACGAGAAGCUUGCUUUUCUGAUGUUAGCGGCGGACGGGUGGGUAACACGUGGAUAACCUACCUAUAAGACUGGGAUAACUUCGGGAAACCGGAGCUAAUACCGGAUAAUAUUUUUAACCGCAUGGUUCAUAAGUGAAAGACGGUCUUGCUGUCACUUAUAGAUGGAUCCGCGCUGCAUUAGCUAGUUGGUAAGGUAACGGCUUACCAAGGCAACGAUGCAUAGCCGACCUGAGAGGGUGAUCGGCCACACUGGAACUGAGACACGGUCCAGACUCCUACGGGAGGCAGCAGUAGGGAAUCUUCCGCAAUGGGCGAAAGCCUGACGGAGCAACGCCGCGUGAGUGAUGAAGGUCUUCGGAUCGUAAAACUCUGUUAUUAGGGAAGAACAUAUGUGUAAGUAACUGUGCACAUCUUGACGGUACCUAAUCAGAAAGCCACGGCUAACUACGUG